UACGUAGGGUGCGAGCGUUGUCCGGAAUUACUGGGCGUAAAGAGCUCGUAGGUGGUUUGUCGCGUUGUCCGUGAAAACUCACAGCUCAACUGUGGGCGUGCGGGCGAUACGGGCAGACUUGAGGCAUGCAGGGGAGAACGGAAUUCCUGGUGUAGCGGUGAAAUGCGCAGAUAUCAGGAGGAACACCGGUGGCGAAGGCGGUUCUCUGGGCAUGUUCUGACGCUGAGGAGCGAAAGUGUGGGGAGCGAACAGG
Molecule: ribosomal RNA, 253 nt
Filed under: uncultured bacterium
Lineage: Bacteria
Description: partial 16S ribosomal RNA
Rfam family: Bacterial small subunit ribosomal RNA
Source: RNAcentral